AUGUCUGGGUAUAACAAUCACUUGAUUCAACUGGGAGUUAAUCUUCCAGAUGAUAGCAUCAUUGACAGAAUUCUUCAAUCACCGCCACCAAGCUACAAGAGCUUCGUGAUGAACUAUAACAUGCAAGGGAUGGAUAAGACGAUUCCCGAGCUCUUCGCAAUGCUAAAGGCUGCGGAGGUAGAAAUCAAGAAGGAGCAUCAAGUGUUGAUGGUCAAUAAGACCACCAGUUUCAAGAAGAAGGGCAAAGGGAAGAAGAGGGGAACUUCAAGAAGAACAACAAACAAGUUGCUGCUCAAGAGAAGAAACCCAAAUCUGGACCUAAGCCUGAGACUGAGUGCUUCUACUGCAAGCAGACUGGUCACUGGAAGUGGAACUGCCCCAAGUAUUUGGCGGAUAAGAAGGAUGGCAAGGUGGACAAAGGGACUACGGAUUAAGCGAACACUUGCUAAGGACGAGGUGACGAUGCGCAUGGGAAAUGGUUCCAAAGUCGAUGUGAUCGCCGUCGGGACGCUACCUCUACAUCUACCUUCGAGAUUAGUUUUAGACCUAAAUAAUUGUUAUUUGGUGCCAGCGUUGAGCAUGAACAUUAUAUCUGGAUCUUGUUUGAUGCGA
RNAcentral lists this ribosomal RNA (612 nucleotides) under Triticum aestivum (bread wheat). Its description in RNAcentral is "partial small subunit ribosomal RNA". The record is from RNAcentral. Lineage: Eukaryota; Viridiplantae; Streptophyta; Magnoliopsida; Poales; Poaceae.